GAUGAACGCUGGCGGCGUGCCUAAUACAUGCAAGUCGAGCGAACAGAUGAGGAGCUUGCUCCUCUGACGUUAGCGGCGGACGGGUGAGUAACACGUGGAUAACCUACCUAUAAGACUGGGAUAACUUCGGGAAACCGGAGCUAAUACCGGAUAAUAUAUUGAACCGCAUGGUUCAAUAGUGAAAGACGGUUUUGCUGUCACUUAUAGAUGGAUCCGCGCCGCAUUAGCUAGUUGGUAAGGUAACGGCUUACCAAGGCAACGAUGCGUAGCCGACCUGAGAGGGUGAUCGGCCACACUGGAACUGAGACACGGUCCAGACUCCGACGGGAGGCAGCAGUAGGGAAUCUUCCGCAAUGGGCGAAAGCUUGACGGAGCAACGCCGCGUGAGUGAUGAAGGUCUUCGGAUCGUAAAACUCUGUUAUUAGGGAAGAACAAAUGUGUAAGUAACUAUGCACGUCUUGACGGUACCUAAUCAGAAAGCCACGGCUAACUACGUG
This 497-nucleotide ribosomal RNA is filed under the name uncultured bacterium. Its description in RNAcentral is "partial 16S ribosomal RNA". It matches the Rfam family "Bacterial small subunit ribosomal RNA", at positions 28 to 507 of the family's 1533-position model. The record is from RNAcentral.